UGGGCAUCAAGUGUAGUUGGGAUCAAGUGCAGUAUCUGUUCUUAUCAGUUUAAUAUCUGAUACAUCCUCGAUGAGAGGACUUCUUUUUGUGCUCGCGUUGGCAGCACAUAUACU
Molecule: small nuclear RNA, 114 nt
Filed under: Calidris pygmaea (Spoon-billed sandpiper)
Lineage: Eukaryota; Metazoa; Chordata; Aves; Charadriiformes; Scolopacidae
Description: U2 spliceosomal RNA (ENSCPGG00000013243.1)
Rfam family: U2 spliceosomal RNA (bases 23-80)
About the family: U2 is a small nuclear RNA (snRNA) component of the spliceosome (involved in pre-mRNA splicing). Complementary binding between U2 snRNA (in an area lying towards the 5' end but 3' to hairpin I) and the branchpoint sequence (BPS) of the intron results the bulging out of an unpaired adenosine, on the BPS, which initiates a nucleophilic attack at the intronic 5' splice site, thus starting the first of two transesterification reactions that mediate splicing.
Source: RNAcentral